This 47-nucleotide non-coding RNA is filed under the name unclassified sequences. The record is from Rfam.
AACUCCGCUCUAAUUGGUGAGCGGGAAGGACCGUUGGGGUCAACUUG